RNAcentral lists this ribosomal RNA (253 nucleotides) under uncultured bacterium. RNAcentral's name for it is "partial 16S ribosomal RNA". It matches the Rfam family "Bacterial small subunit ribosomal RNA", at positions 524 to 776 of the family's 1533-position model. The record is from RNAcentral.
UACGUAGGGUGCGAGCGUUAAUCGGAAUUACUGGGCGUAAAGUGUGCGCAGGCGGCCGAGCAAGUCGAGUGUGAAAGCCCCGAGCUUAACUUGGGAACUGCGCUCGAAACUACUUGGCUAGAGUGUGGCAGAGGGGGGUGGAAUUCCACGUGUAGCAGUGAAAUGCGUAGAGAUGUGGAGGAACACCGAUGGCGAAGGCAGCCCCCUGGGCUAACACUGACGCUCAUGCACGAAAGCGUGGGGAGCAAACAGG